Molecule: ribosomal RNA, 253 nt
Filed under: uncultured bacterium
Lineage: Bacteria
Description: partial 16S ribosomal RNA
Rfam family: Bacterial small subunit ribosomal RNA
Source: RNAcentral
UACGAAGGGGGCUAGCGUUGUUCGGAAUAACUGGGCGUAAAGCGCACGUAGGCGGAUCUGUAAGUCAGGGGUGAAAUCCCGGGGCUCAACCUCGGAACUGCCUUUGAUACUGCAAGUCUAGAGUCCGGAAGAGGUGAGUGGAAUUCCUAGUGUAGAGGUGAAAUUCGUAGAUAUUAGGAAGAACACCAGUGGCGAAGGCGGCUCACUGGUCCGGAACUGACGCUGAGGUGCGAAAGCGUGGGGAGCAAACAGG